UACGUAGGGGGCUAGCGUUGUCCGGAAUCAUUGGGCGUAAAGCGCGUGUAGGCGGUCCGGUAAGUCCGCUGUGAAAGUCGAGGGCUCAACCCUCGAAUGCCGGUGGAUACUGUCGGGCUUGAGUACGGGAGAGGCGAGUGGAAUUCCUGGUGUAGCGGUGAAAUGCGCAGAUAUCAGGAGGAACACCGAUUGCGAACGCAGCUCGCUGGAACGUUACUGACGCUGAGACGCGAAAGCGUGGGGAGCAAACAGG
Molecule: ribosomal RNA, 253 nt
Filed under: uncultured bacterium
Lineage: Bacteria
Description: partial 16S ribosomal RNA
Rfam family: Bacterial small subunit ribosomal RNA
Source: RNAcentral